AGCUUGCUACUGGAUUCACCGGCGGACGGGUGAGUAAUGCUUAGGAAUCUGCCUAUUAGUGGGGGACAACGUUCCGAAAGGAGCGCUAAUACCGCAUACGUCCUACGGGAGAAAGCAGGGGACCUUCGGGCCUUGCGCUAAUAGAUGAGCCUAAGUCGGAUUAGCUAGUUGGUAGGGUAAAGGCCUACCAAGGCGACGAUCUGUAGCGGGUCUGAGAGGAUGAUCCGCCACACUGGGACUGAGACACGGCCCAGACUCCUACGGGAGGCAGCAGUGGGGAAUAUUGGACAAUGGGGGGAACCCUGAUCCAGCCAUGCCGCGUGUGUGAAGAAGGCCUUUUGGUUGUAAAGCACUUUAAGCGAGGAGGAGGCUACCUGGAUUAAUACUUUAGGAUAGUGGACGUUACUCGCAGAAUAAGCACCGGCUAACUCUGUGCCAGCAGCCGCGGUAAUACAGAGGGUGCGAGCGUUAAUCGGAUUUACUGGGCGUAAAGCGUGCGUAGGCGGCCAAUUAAGUCAAAUGUGAAAUCCCCGAGCUUAACUUGGGAAUUGCAUUCGAUACUGGUUGGCUAGAGUAUGGGAGAGGAUGGUAGAAUUCCAGGUGUAGCGGUGAAAUGCGUAGAGAUCUGGAGGAAUACCGAUGGCGAAGGCAGCCAUCUGGCCUAAUACUGACGCUGAGGUACGAAAGCAUGGGGAGCAA
Molecule: ribosomal RNA, 699 nt
Filed under: Acinetobacter sp. GA17
Lineage: Bacteria; Pseudomonadati; Pseudomonadota; Gammaproteobacteria; Moraxellales; Moraxellaceae
Description: bacterial SSU rRNA
Rfam family: Bacterial small subunit ribosomal RNA
Source: RNAcentral